UACGGAGGGUGCGAGCGUUGUCCGGAAUCACUGGGCGUAAAGGGCGCGUAGGCGGCUCAUGAAGGCUGUGGUGAAAGUCCGGGGCUCAACCUCGGAUCGGCCGUGGCGACUCGUGGGCUGGAGCACUGUAGAGGCGGGUGGAAUUCCGGGUGUAGCGGUGGAAUGCGUAGAGAUCCGGAGGAAGACCGGUGGCGAAGGCGGUCUGCUGGGCAGUUUCUGACACUGAUGCGCGACAGCGUGGGGAGCAAACAGG
RNAcentral lists this ribosomal RNA (253 nucleotides) under uncultured bacterium. RNAcentral describes it as "partial 16S ribosomal RNA". It matches the Rfam family "Bacterial small subunit ribosomal RNA", at positions 524 to 776 of the family's 1533-position model. The record is from RNAcentral.